AUAAAUCUAGUUUAUAAAAACAACAAUUUGUGGAAUUGUAAUAUCUAAAAUUUCAAAAUUUU
RNAcentral lists this transfer RNA (62 nucleotides) under Desis jiaxiangi. RNAcentral's name for it is "tRNA-His". Lineage: Eukaryota; Metazoa; Arthropoda; Arachnida; Araneae; Desidae. The record is from RNAcentral.